GGGCGGUUAACUCAGCGGUAGAGUGCCAUCCUCACACGGUGGAAGUCACUGGUUCAAAUCCAGUACCGCCCACCA
RNAcentral lists this transfer RNA (75 nucleotides) under Candidatus Dadabacteria bacterium RBG_19FT_COMBO_40_33. RNAcentral's name for it is "tRNA-Val". It matches the Rfam family "tRNA". Rfam says of the family: Transfer RNA (tRNA) molecules are approximately 80 nucleotides in length. Their secondary structure includes four short double-helical elements and three loops (D, anti-codon, and T loops). Further hydrogen bonds mediate the characteristic L-shaped molecular structure. tRNAs have two regions of fundamental functional importance: the anti-codon, which is responsible for specific mRNA codon recognition, and the 3' end, to which the tRNAs corresponding amino acid is attached (by aminoacyl-tRNA synthetases). tRNAs cope with the degeneracy of the genetic code in two manners: having more than one tRNA (with a specific anti-codon) for a particular amino acid; and 'wobble' base-pairing, i.e. permitting non-standard base-pairing at the 3rd anti-codon position. Lineage: Bacteria; Pseudomonadati; Thermodesulfobacteriota; Candidatus Dadabacteria. RNAcentral also lists the same sequence under 3 other names. The record is from RNAcentral.